RNAcentral lists this unclassified non-coding RNA (393 nucleotides) under Hevea brasiliensis (rubber tree). The record is from RNAcentral. Lineage: Eukaryota; Viridiplantae; Streptophyta; Magnoliopsida; Malpighiales; Euphorbiaceae.
GGCAUGUUGCGAGAUGUUCCUUGGCGUGGUUCUGGUGUUGCAAUCCCCAUGUUCUCUGUUAGAUCAGAAGAGGAUCUUGGAGUUGGCGAGUUUCUUGACUUGAAAUUACUUGUUGACUGGGCUGUGGAGUCUGGUCUCCAUUUAGUUCAACUUCUACCCGUGAAUGAUACAUCUGUGCAUGGAAUGUGGUGGGACUCGUAUCCUUACAGCUCACUUUCUGUCUUUGCCCUGCAUCCAUUGUACUUGAGAGUCCAAGCACUUUCAGAUAAUAUUCCAGAGGAUAUCAAGCUGGAGAUUCAAAAGGCAAAAGUUGAACUGGAUGGAAAGGAUGUGGAUUAUGAGGCUACUAUGGCUGCUAAACUUACACUUGCACAGAAAAUUUUUGCUCGAGAG